Molecule: long non-coding RNA, 438 nt
Filed under: Equus asinus (donkey)
Lineage: Eukaryota; Metazoa; Chordata; Mammalia; Perissodactyla; Equidae
Description: lncRNA (ENSEASG00005035949.1)
Source: RNAcentral
CCUGAGGCAAAGACUAAAUCUGGCUGUGCUGACUUAGCUCCCCUGGUUGAAAAAGCAGCUUGGGGCUCUUGGGCACAGAAAGGAAUCUCACCCAGCAGCCAUCGUUUGUAAAGUUGCCUUUGUCCCCCACAGGAAUCUGAACUUAGAGGAAAUGCCAGUUGAGUCCUGACCUUCCUCCUUCCGUGACAGAAUUCCAGCUGUACCAUGACAGAAAUCUGACUCUGAGAGUGAGGGGAGUGUGGUGGUUUCCUUGGACUCCAUCCAAACGAAGCAAGAUGAGCAUCUGUCUGCUGAUUUAUCAAGAGGACCAGCGAUGGUUUAGGAAUGAUGGACAGUCCUCUGAGGAAGCAGUGCCAGAAGCAUGAUGAGCAGAAAUGCUGAACAAGAUGCUGGCUGGAGGGGAAAUCGGUCUCCCAGGCCGAUUAGCUUGGGUGAGAG